UACGUAGGGGGCAAGCGUUGUCCGGAUUUAUUGGGCGUAAAGAGCGUGUAGGCGGCCUGAAAGGUCAGCUGUGAAAACUCGAGGCUCAACCUCGAGACGUCGGUUGAAACCAUCUGGCUAGAGUCCGGAAGAGGAGAGUGGAAUUCCCGGUGUAGCGGUGAAAUGCGCAGAUAUCGGGAAGAACACCUGUGGCGAAAGCGGCGCACUGGACCAUAACUGACGCUGAUGCGCGAAAGCUAGGGGAGCAAACAGG
Molecule: ribosomal RNA, 253 nt
Filed under: uncultured bacterium
Lineage: Bacteria
Description: partial 16S ribosomal RNA
Rfam family: Bacterial small subunit ribosomal RNA
Source: RNAcentral